Molecule: transfer RNA, 63 nt
Filed under: Pseudomonas aeruginosa
Lineage: Bacteria; Pseudomonadati; Pseudomonadota; Gammaproteobacteria; Pseudomonadales; Pseudomonadaceae
Description: tRNA-Ala
Source: RNAcentral
GGCUAUAGCUCAGCUGGGAGAGCGCUUGCAUGGCAUGCAAGAGGUCGACGGUUCGAUCUAGCU